AUGGCAGUUUCGAGAGCGCUCGUCCUCGGCGUCCUGCUGGCGAUCGCCGUCGCCAAUGCCGAGGCAGCGUCCGUCGUGGUCGGCCAGGUCAAGUGCGCCGACUGCACCAGGAAGAACUUGAAGGCCGAGGAAGCCUUCAAGGAUCUUCAGGUGGCGAUCAAGUGCAAGAACGUCCACCGCGACUACGAGAGCAAGGCAGUGGGUGCCCUGGACCGCACCGGCGCCUUCAGCGUGCCCCUGGCCGCCGACCUCCAUGGCGCCGACUGCGUCGCGCAGCUCCACAGCGCUGCCUCCAACGCGCCGUGCUCCGGCCAGGAGCCAUCCAAGAUCGUGCCGGUGUCCGAGGGCACCACCUUCGGCGUCAUGGCCGGCGCCAACACUGCCACGCUGUCCGCGGCGUCGCCUGAGUGCGCGUCCAUGACCCUGUGCGGGCUGAUCAAGAAGCACAUCAUCGAGCACUUCCACCACAAGAAGCCCGUGCUGCCCAAGCCGGAGCCCAAGCCCCAGCCCCACCCGGACUACGGCCCCGUGCCCAAACCCGAGCCCAAGCCGCAGCCCCAGCCGGACUACCACCCCGUCCCUCCCACGCCCACCUAUGGCGGCGGCGGCGGCGGUGGAUACCACGGCCACCACUGA
RNAcentral lists this ribosomal RNA (636 nucleotides) under Triticum aestivum (bread wheat). Its description in RNAcentral is "partial small subunit ribosomal RNA". Lineage: Eukaryota; Viridiplantae; Streptophyta; Magnoliopsida; Poales; Poaceae. The record is from RNAcentral.